This 224-nucleotide unclassified non-coding RNA is filed under the name Hevea brasiliensis (rubber tree). Lineage: Eukaryota; Viridiplantae; Streptophyta; Magnoliopsida; Malpighiales; Euphorbiaceae. The record is from RNAcentral.
AAUGUUAGCUGGGAUGACAUUGGUGGUCUCGAGAAUGUUAAGCGGGAGCUUCAAGAGACUGUUCAAUAUCCGGUGGAGCAUCCAGAGAAGUUUGAGAAGUUUGGCAUGUCACCUUCUAAAGGUGUCCUUUUCUAUGGCCCUCCUGGAUGCGGGAAAACUCUGCUGGCUAAAGCAAUUGCAAAUGAAUGUCAGGCAAACUUCAUAAGUGUCAAGGGUCCUGAACU